Salvelinus fontinalis (brook trout) is the source of this 4151-nucleotide long non-coding RNA. RefSeq lists it as uncharacterized. The transcript has 3 exons. NCBI's taxonomy places the organism in Eukaryota, Metazoa, Chordata, Actinopteri, Salmoniformes, Salmonidae. The record is from RefSeq and is a predicted model, not a curated record.
CGGCUGACCAAAUCUCAUAUCACUGAGAGUGCUGUGCAGUUCAGCACGUACUGACCGUACGUAAAAUGGCUAAACUCCUUUUAAUCCUCCUCUGCAGAGGUCUGUUUUGAAGACGAUCAACCAGCAGCUUUACCUUCUUCUUGACUUUCUCCCCCAGUUUUCUUGCUCACGCGUCGUGUGCGCUCUCCAUGGUGCUGAAAGGCAUCAACGCAAUCCGCUCAAACAAACGGCCUUGGCUACCCAGACGACAUUUCACAAGUAAUGCAAAUCAAGUUUAGGCACAUUCAGAGCACAAACAAUGCAACCAUGAUAGGACAUGUAUAAUUUGUAUAGUAUACAAUAUAAUUAUCACGCAGUUUGCAACUCUGCAUACAAUCAGUGUAUAACAUCACCGCCGGUUUUGUUCGUCAAAAAGCAAGACAGCCAAGAAGCCAGCUUUGCCUCCCCAGCUUUACUCUACAAGCAUGUCCUCAGACGUGCAGCCGUGUGAUGAAGCGGACCAACUAACUUCCAGAGAGCACCGGACGAAGGAAACCCGCUGCACGAGUAGCAGAAAAGCCUGAGAGCAGGGGCAUCCCAAGCUGACCCCAUCCGGAGACUUCUUCCUGGGCUGAACACAAUGGUGACUGUUUGACAGUGGAAGUGGAGGUUUACUGUAUAGUAGCUCAGCUGGAGUUCCUCACCCCUUCAUGACAUGCAGUGAGCCGAUGCCACCAGCAGGUAUGGUGGACAAUUGUAAUUAAGAUUAAUGACCUAUUGUGAUUUUUAAGUUGUUACUGCUCCAGAACAUAUUAGUUACUUACAUUUUUCUAAAUGGAUUUCAUGUUUUGCAUAUCAGCCAUCUAUAGAGUUGUGGUCUGUUAGGAGAGCAGCAAGUGUCUGCUUGAGAGAUAGCGUUGUGGUCUGUUAGGAGAGCAGCAAGUGUCUGCUUGAGAGAUAGCGUUGUGGUCUGUUAGGAGAGCAGCAAGUGUCUGCUUGAGAGAUAGCGUUGUGGUCUGUUAGGAGAGCAGCAAGUGUCUGCUUGAGAGGGGCCACUUGAACAGCUCUUGAAGUCACACAGGUUCCCUGCCUCACUUGAUAGAGCAGCUGUUUAGGAGCAGAGUAAACAAAGGUAGCAGAUGUAAAAUAAACACCUGAGCGGGGUCCACACAUCCGGUUUUCAGGAGGAAAGGAAGCUAGGUUGAAAAUACUGUAUCCCUGAAAUCAAGAUGUUUCCCCGCUGAGGGUGGGAGCAGAACAGGCAUGAUAAUUACUCACUUGUUCAAUACAAUUGCAAAGUUAACACUUAACACAUAAUACACUUCCAGCUUUGCCUAUACAUUCCCACCAUGUGCGCAUCAGGUAUGGUCACUUUUAGAUGAACCCAGGCUCUAAUGGAACGUUUGCGAGGCUGGCACCAGGGGUGCAUUUGAUAUAGCAGUGAGGAGCAAAGGUGUCUUUUUAAAAGUUUACAUUUAGUCGGUUAUGUGUUUGAUUAAACGGACAUAGGCCUUUAGAGCAUUAACCCAGCGGUGGUGGGGCUAAUCGAGCGGUGGUGGGACUAAUCGAGCGGUGGUGGGACUAAUCGAGCAGUGGUGCGGUGCACAUCAGUGGAGCUGAGAGAUGGCACCAGUUGAAAGGAAUGCCUGAUUAUCACACUUACAACCACAGCAGGCUGACACAUCUACACUGAGCUGCUGGUGUUAAAUCACACUUUUUAAUUUUAUUCCUAUGCAAUUAAAAGGUUAUUUUUGCUUUGUAUGGAUAAGCUAAGGCACCAGCGAUGGAGGCUUGUUAAGGAAGAGGAUGUAAUUAAGCUAAAAUGGGAGAAUGGAAUAAGAGCAUGUGCAAACCUUCCGCUCUUAACGUGUUCAGCACAAUGGAGCGGUAAGGAAGUCCUCUCUAGACGGGUUCUUGAGCAGCUACAUUGACCAUGCUAGUCACCACCACUCAGAACACAGAGAUGUGUUGAGAUACAGCAUGCCCAUCUCCGGUCCAAAUAAGAACUUACAUUGCAUGCUUUCCUGAUGCAACUCUGUAGCCUAUAUUCUGUAACAAUAGGGUUCUCGCAAGCCUGAGAUUCAGCUCAAGGAACAUCGAAAAAAUCUGACAAUCAAACCAGUCACAGCGCAUAAAAUCCAGCUGAUUUGUGCUGUCAUACAGCAGUCAUUACACCUGGAGCAGAUGAUGGGUUAUUCAUCUGACGUUGAAGGAUUCAGAACUUAUACAGACUGUACUGUAAGAACUCCACAGCACUGAGUGAUGCUCCCCCAGAUCUUUGUCUAGCACUGUGAAGUAUAGAUCAAAUAAAAUAGUGUCAUUGCAUUUCCUACAAAGACUAUUGGAGGUCGUUGAACUAAGCGGUAUGUUGUGUGUUUUUGUUCUUCUUCUGUGCAUUGUGUCAGCAUAUUUCAUAAAAAAAUGUUGAAGAGAUGUAGUGACCCGGUAGUUGGUUGUAAAACCCAAGCUUGCUGUUUAGUAUUUCAGGGCUCUCUAGUCUAUACGGUGGUGAAUUACACUUCCUCAGAUGAACCCAGUGAUGAUUGUAGUGUAAAAGCUUGAUAGAAUACAUCAGAAGCCAUUACUCUUCAAAAUUGGUUCUAGGUGAUCUGUUUAGUGUCCCACAGGGGGAGACCUGAAUACAUUAAAUCAUGCAGGUUGGCAUUUAUUGGGAUGACUUAUGUAAAAGCUUAUGUACUGGAGGAAGCUUUGCAGGGUAGUCACUAGCUGGCACAGCCACAAAGUCAUACAGUUGGAUUUUAAACGUAACCCUCCAGGACAAGAUUCAUCCCAAUAAACGUCAACAUGCUUUAAUCAUGGCCGGAGAAAAUUGAAGAUCUGUUGAUAUCAUUGUAAUGAAUCAUCCACGCUGUAUCUCUCUCUAACUCUCUUUCCUGGUCUCCUCCCUCUGAAUUAGCCAGGCAUCUAAAAGGUUGCAGUGUCUUUGUGGUGCAUCGUGACUCUGUUCCAUUCUAAUCAAGAGGGUUCACUGCAUUACCCUUGGGCUAGCAGCUAGCUUAUCAGCUAUUGUUGGGACACAGCUUAGAGAUGGAAGAAAGAGCUUCCCACUGCUGUCUGUAAACAGUGCCGAAUCCUUUGUUGUACCAUAACAGAGACCCAAGACUGCUUAGUAAUAGUAGUACUACUAAGUAGUAGUACCAUCGAUCACAAGAUAUUUCUCUGCCUGUUUUCGGUUCUCAGACACAGCUGAGGAAGCCUCAGGUGUUCCUAAGUCCUGCCACUCAUCCAGUAAUAAUUCCGGCUGUCAUUCCCGGUGCUUAAUUGCACUAAGCCUCGGCACCAGAUAAAUCCGGGACUGCGCUUCUAGCUCCAUUAUUAUUGGCUCCAUAAAACAUUCAGCACUCCCCGCUCCCGUUGGAACCAUGACGGAGCAGUGACAUUGUCAUUUUGCAGCCAGAUCUAAUUCCUCCAUGAUGUGGGAUUGGAAGAUUGGAAGACAGAAGACAUGGAGAGAUGGUUUCCCCUCCCUGCCCUCUGACCUCUCACACACAGGUUGGCUAUCGGAGUUACAUUUGAUGGCGAGGGUCACAGAGAAUGAGUUCAAGAGAGGAAAGUGUUAAGGGGGGAUUAUUUUUCCAACCCCCCCCCCUAGACUCAGUAGGUAGAGAAUGAUACAGCCAGCCUGGCUCAUCUGGCUGUUAUUGUUACCAACUCUACCCAGACAGAAUAUACUGGACUCUAGAGGGAUGUUUUCCACCACAGUGCUACUGCUGUUGCUGCUGCUGACUGUGUGAAUGUUUGUGAGGGAGCCUCAUGUCAAUUUCUCCCCUUUCGGGUCAUGAACACUAACGAGCAAUUAGACAGGAAGAGGGACGAUGAUACGAGGCUGAAGAAAUGUCUCCCUACAGUCCUGGUGAGUUUGAGCUCUUUCAGGCAGAGUCUGACAGGACUGGGCCUUUAAUCAUUCACAGCCACUAACAGGACCAGUGAGACUGUCUGAACAGGUCUGUGUUAUGUCAGAAAGAAAGAUAGCAUCUCAAACAUUUGACAUUCACACUCCAGGAAGCACGUACAGAUACACACGCACAUACACUCAUGGUCUCACAGCACACUGGCACACAUACGCACACACACACACACACACACACACACACACACACACACACACACACACACACACACACACACACACACACACACACACACACACA